AAUUGCUCGUGGCUCGGCUUGUGGCUGGAGCACUGAAGUCCUCCGAGUAGUGCGCGAAGCGUGUGCAAGCUUCUGCUACGGAGAUCUUUGCGCCAUCACGAUUCAGAUUGAGGCUACGUGCGCAGUAUAACCACUCGGGCGGGGAGUGACCAGCAACUAGGGUGACUCCGCGGCAUCACAGGCUGCUGCUCUGUUUGGGAACAUAGUCCCCUUUUGGGUUGCUGCUUUCCACUGGCGCGACAGGUCGUGGGCUACUGUGGUCGGGUUCUAUCGACGCAGCGCAGACCCCCAGCACUGCGCACUCUCACCUGCUGACUACCUUCACUCGCGGCAACACCGCUGACCGCAU
This is a long non-coding RNA of Engraulis encrasicolus (European anchovy), 349 nucleotides long. RefSeq lists it as uncharacterized. The transcript has 3 exons. The record is from RefSeq and is a predicted model, not a curated record. NCBI's taxonomy places the organism in Eukaryota, Metazoa, Chordata, Actinopteri, Clupeiformes, Engraulidae.